GAUGAACGCUGGCGGCGUGCCUAAUACAUGCAAGUCGAGCGAACAGACGAGGAGCUUGCUCCUCUGACGUUAGCGGCGGACGGGUGAGUAACACGUGGAUAACCUACCUAUAAGACUGGGAUAACUUCGGGAAACCGGAGCUAAUACCGGAUAAUAUAUUGAACCGCAUGGUUCAAUAGUGAAAGACGGUUUUGCUGUCACUUAUAGAUGGAUCCGCGCCGCAUUAGCUAGUUGGUAAGGUAACGGCUUACCAAGGCAAAGAUGCGUAUCCGACCUGAGAGGGUGAUCGGCCACACUGGAACUGAGAAACGGUCAAGACUCCUACGGGAGGCAGCAGUAGGGAAUCUUCCGCAAUGGGCGAAAGCCUGACGGAGCAACGCCGCGUGAGUGAUGAAGGUCUUCGGAUCGUAAAACUCUGUUAUUAGGGAAGAACAAAUGUGUAAGUAACUAUGCACGUCUUGACGGUACCUAAUCAGAAAGCCACGGCUAACUACGUG
Molecule: ribosomal RNA, 497 nt
Filed under: uncultured bacterium
Lineage: Bacteria
Description: partial 16S ribosomal RNA
Rfam family: Bacterial small subunit ribosomal RNA
Source: RNAcentral